AUUCAAUCUCAACAGGGAAAUGAGACUUGAGCUCCAGGGAUGGACAGUUGACAGCCUUGAAGAGAGUCGGAUGAGGGGAAGCUGCUGUCAGGGAAGGGAUGUGCAUCUCAGUACACCAAGGUGAAAUCUUGGGAAAAUACCUUGGAAGCAAGCAAUGCCACCAUCUGAACAUGUUUGUAGUGCUUCCACUAUUCUAAUAUGCGAAAUGUAUAUGUGAAGGCUGUGGGAGGUUCAGUUGAUGUUCUUCUGUUUGAUUAGUGCUUGAAGAAGGAACGGAGAGAAGAAAGCUUUUGCAGCUUUUGCAUUGUCUUUCAGUUAGUGAACAGAACCAAAUUGAGUGACAGUUCUUGAUCUUCGGUUUUCAGAGUGGAAGGCUAAUGGAUUUUUUUCAGAAGAUUCAGACUGGCUGCGAGUAAAUCACAGCAAGCUGAGAGGACAAAGAAUUGGCUAAUGUCUUCUCCACUAUGUAGGUAAUUAAAAGUGCAACGUAUUGGCUUUGUUUAACAUAAGCUACCCAAAUGUAACUACUUAUACAUUUCCUUGGUAAUUUCGAUGUAAGAAUCAGAGUAUAUAUGUUUUUGUAGCGUAAUGUUUUACUUCUCCA
This is a long non-coding RNA of Lolium rigidum, 604 nucleotides long. RefSeq lists it as uncharacterized. The transcript has 4 exons. Lineage: Eukaryota; Viridiplantae; Streptophyta; Magnoliopsida; Poales; Poaceae. The record is from RefSeq and is a predicted model, not a curated record.